Molecule: ribosomal RNA, 274 nt
Filed under: uncultured bacterium
Lineage: Bacteria
Description: partial 16S ribosomal RNA
Rfam family: Bacterial small subunit ribosomal RNA
Source: RNAcentral
AUACGGAGGGUGCAAGCGUUACUCGGAAUCACUGGGCGUAAAGCGCGCGCAGGCGGCUUGAUAAGUUGGAUGUGAAAGCCUACGGCUCAACCGUAGAACUGCAUCCAAAACUGUCAAGCUAGAGUCUGGGAGGGGAAGAUGGAAUUAGUUGUGUAGGGGUAAAAUCCGUAGAGAUAACUAGGAAUACCAAAAGCGAAGGCGAUAUUCUGGAACAGUACUGACGCUGAGGCGCGAAAGCGUGGGGAGCGAACAGGAUUAGAUACCCCAGUAGUCC